This 97-nucleotide small nuclear RNA is filed under the name Suricata suricatta (meerkat). RNAcentral's name for it is "U2 spliceosomal RNA (ENSSSUG00005007707.1)". It matches the Rfam family "U2 spliceosomal RNA". Rfam says of the family: U2 is a small nuclear RNA (snRNA) component of the spliceosome (involved in pre-mRNA splicing). Complementary binding between U2 snRNA (in an area lying towards the 5' end but 3' to hairpin I) and the branchpoint sequence (BPS) of the intron results the bulging out of an unpaired adenosine, on the BPS, which initiates a nucleophilic attack at the intronic 5' splice site, thus starting the first of two transesterification reactions that mediate splicing. Lineage: Eukaryota; Metazoa; Chordata; Mammalia; Carnivora; Herpestidae. The record is from Rfam by way of RNAcentral.
AUCACUUCUCGGCCUUUUGGCUAAGAUCAAGUGUAGUAUUCUUUAUUUUCUUUUUAAUGUUUUUUCUUUAUUUUUGAGAGACAGAGAGAGACGGUAC